RNAcentral lists this small RNA (116 nucleotides) under Marmota monax (woodchuck). The record is from RNAcentral. Lineage: Eukaryota; Metazoa; Chordata; Mammalia; Rodentia; Sciuridae.
GCCAGGCACAGUGGUGCACACCUGGAGUCCCAGCACUUGGGAGGCUGAGGCAGGAGGAUGACUUGAGCCCAGGAUUUCAAGCCCAACCUGGACAACGUAGCAAGACCCUGUCUCAG